GACGAACGCUGGCGGCGUGCUUAACACAUGCAAGUCGAACGGAAAGGCCCUGCUUUUGUGGGGUGCUCGAGUGGCGAACGGGUGAGUAACACGUGAGUAACCUGCCCUUGACUUUGGGAUAACUUCAGGAAACUGGGGCUAAUACCGGAUAGGAGCUCCUGCUGCAUGGUGGGGGUUGGAAAGUUUCGGCGGUUGGGGCUGGACUCGCGGCUUAUCAGCUUGUUGGUGGGGUAGUGGCGUACCAGGGCUUUGACGGGUAGCCGGCCUGGGAGGGUGACCGGCCACCUUGGGACUGAGAUACGGCCCAGAAGCCUACGGGAGGCAGCAGUCGGGAAUCUUGCACAACGGGCGGAAGCCUGAUGCAGCAACCCCGCGUGCGUGAUGACGGCCUUCGGGUUGUAAACCGCUUUCGCCUGUGCCGAAGCGUGAGUGACGGUAAUGGGUAAAGAAGCACCGGCUAACUACGUG
This 468-nucleotide ribosomal RNA is filed under the name uncultured bacterium. RNAcentral describes it as "partial 16S ribosomal RNA". It matches the Rfam family "Bacterial small subunit ribosomal RNA", at positions 28 to 507 of the family's 1533-position model. The record is from RNAcentral.